AUGAACGCUGGCGGCGUGCCUAAUACAUGCAAGUCGAGCGGACGGACGAGAAGCUUGCUUCUCUGAUGUUAGCGGCGGACGGGUGAGUAACACGUGGAUAACCUACCUAUAAGACUGGGAUAACUUCGGGAAACCGGAGCUAAUACCGGAUAAUAUUUUGAACCGCAUGGUUCAAAAGUGAAAGACGGUCUUGCUGUCACUUAUAGAUGGAUCCGCGCUGCAUUAGCUAGUUGGUAAGGUAACGGCUUACCAAGGCAACGAUGCAUAGCCGACCUGAGAGGGUGAUCGGCCGCACUGGAACUGAGACACGGUCCAGACUCCUACGGGAGGCAGCAGUAGGGAAUCUUCCGCAAUGGGCGAAAGCCUGACGGAGCAACGCCGCGUGAGUGAUGAAGGUCUUCGGAUCGUAAAACUCUGUUAUUAGGGAAGAACAUAUGUGUAAGUAACUGUGCACAUCUUGACGGUACCUAAUCAGAAAGCCACGGCUAACUACGUG
RNAcentral lists this ribosomal RNA (496 nucleotides) under uncultured bacterium. RNAcentral's name for it is "partial 16S ribosomal RNA". It matches the Rfam family "Bacterial small subunit ribosomal RNA", at positions 29 to 507 of the family's 1533-position model. The record is from RNAcentral.